GCUCCGGUAGUAUAGUCCGGUCAAGUAUUACGGCCUCUCACGCCGUGGGCCCGGGUUCGAAUCCCGGCCGGAGCACCA
Molecule: transfer RNA, 78 nt
Filed under: Candidatus Bathyarchaeota archaeon
Lineage: Archaea; Thermoproteati; Candidatus Bathyarchaeota
Also listed under: 1 other name
Description: tRNA-Glu
Rfam family: tRNA
About the family: Transfer RNA (tRNA) molecules are approximately 80 nucleotides in length. Their secondary structure includes four short double-helical elements and three loops (D, anti-codon, and T loops).
Source: RNAcentral